CAGCAGCCGCGGGAAUACGUAGGGUGCAAGCGUUAAUCGGAAUUACUGGGCGUAAAGCGUGCGCAGGCGGUUCGCUAAGACAGAUGUGAAAUCCCCGGGCUUAACCUGGGAACUGCAUUUGUGACUGGCGGGCUAGAGUAUGGCAGAGGGGGGUAGAAUUCCACGUGUAGCAGUGAAAUGCGUAGAGAUGUGGAGGAAUACCGAUGGCGAAGGCAGCCCCCUGGGCCAAUACUGACGCUCAUGCACGAAAGCGUGGGGAGCAAACAGGAUUAGAUACCCGCGUAGUCCCUGUCUCUUAUAU
Molecule: ribosomal RNA, 301 nt
Filed under: uncultured bacterium
Lineage: Bacteria
Description: partial 16S ribosomal RNA
Rfam family: Bacterial small subunit ribosomal RNA
Source: RNAcentral